ACCUGGCUGGCUCGGUCAGUAGAGCAUGUGAUUCUUGAUCUCAGGGUUGUGAGUUCAAGCCUCAUGUUGGGUG
RNAcentral lists this transfer RNA (73 nucleotides) under Canis lupus familiaris (dog). It matches the Rfam family "tRNA". From Rfam's summary of the family: Transfer RNA (tRNA) molecules are approximately 80 nucleotides in length. Their secondary structure includes four short double-helical elements and three loops (D, anti-codon, and T loops). Further hydrogen bonds mediate the characteristic L-shaped molecular structure. tRNAs have two regions of fundamental functional importance: the anti-codon, which is responsible for specific mRNA codon recognition, and the 3' end, to which the tRNAs corresponding amino acid is attached (by aminoacyl-tRNA synthetases). tRNAs cope with the degeneracy of the genetic code in two manners: having more than one tRNA (with a specific anti-codon) for a particular amino acid; and 'wobble' base-pairing, i.e. permitting non-standard base-pairing at the 3rd anti-codon position. RNAcentral also lists the same sequence under 1 other name. Lineage: Eukaryota; Metazoa; Chordata; Mammalia; Carnivora; Canidae. The record is from Rfam by way of RNAcentral.